RNAcentral lists this ribosomal RNA (205 nucleotides) under Pseudonocardia bannensis. Its description in RNAcentral is "partial 16S ribosomal RNA". It matches the Rfam family "Bacterial small subunit ribosomal RNA", at positions 1 to 205 of the family's 1533-position model. The record is from RNAcentral. Lineage: Bacteria; Bacillati; Actinomycetota; Actinomycetes; Pseudonocardiales; Pseudonocardiaceae.
UUUGUUGGAGAGUUUGAUCCUGGCUCAGGACGAACGCUGGCGGCGUGCUUAACACAUGCAAGUCGAGCGGUAAGGCUCCUUCGGGGGUACACGAGCGGCGAACGGGUGAGUAACACGUGGGUGACCUGCCCUCAGCUCUGGGAUAAGCCUGGGAAACCGGGUCUAAUACCGGAUAGGACCUUGCCUCGCAUGGGGUGGGGUGGAA